GUGAACGCUGGCGGCAGGCCUAAUACAUGCAAGUCGAACGGCAGCACAGCAGAGCUUGCUCUGUGGGUGGCGAGUGGCGGACGGGUGAGGAAUACGUGGGAAUCUGCCCAGUCGUGGGGGAUAACGUAGGGAAACUUACGCUAAUACCGCAUGCGCCCUUCGGGGGAAAGCCGGGGACCUUCGGGCCUGGCGCGAUUGGAUGAGCCCACGUCGGAUUAGCUAGUUGGCGGGGUAAAGGCCCACCAAGGCGACGAUCCGUAGCUGGUCUGAGAGGAUGAUCAGCCACACUGGAACUGAGACACGGUCCAGACUCCUACGGGAGGCAGCAGUAGGGAAUAUUGGACAAUGGGCGCAAGCCUGAUCCAGCCAUGCCGCGUGAGUGAAGAAGGCCCUCGGGUUGUAAAGCUCUUUUGUCCGGAAAGAAAAGCGCCGGGUUAAUACCCUGGUGUCCUGACGGUACCGGAAGAAUAAGCACCGGCUAACUUCGUG
This 489-nucleotide ribosomal RNA is filed under the name uncultured bacterium. RNAcentral's name for it is "bacterial SSU rRNA". It matches the Rfam family "Bacterial small subunit ribosomal RNA", at positions 29 to 507 of the family's 1533-position model. The record is from RNAcentral.